Molecule: ribosomal RNA, 784 nt
Filed under: uncultured haloarchaeon
Lineage: Archaea; Methanobacteriati; Methanobacteriota; Halobacteria; Halobacteriales; Halobacteriaceae
Description: bacterial SSU rRNA
Rfam family: Archaeal small subunit ribosomal RNA
Source: RNAcentral
UCCGGUUGAUCCUGCCGGAGGUCAUUGCUAUUGGGGUCCGAUUUAGCCAUGCUAGUCGCACGGGUUUAGACCCGUGGCAGAUAGCUCAGUAACACGCGGCCAAACUGCCCUGUGGAUCAGGACACUCUCGGGAAACUGAGGCUAAUCCUGAAUAGGGCUCGAUGCCUGGAGUGGCCCGAGUCCGAAACGCUACGGCGCCACAGGAUGUGGCUGCGGCCGAUUAGGUAGACGGUGGGGUAACGGCCCACCGUGCCGAUAAUCGGUACGGGUUGUGAGAGCAAGAGCCCGGAGACGGUAUCUGAGACAAGAUACCGGGCCCUACGGGGCGCAGCAGGCGCGAAACCUUUACACUGCACGGAAGUGCGAUAAGGGGACCCCAAGUGCGAGGGCAUACAGUCCUCGCUUUUCCUGACUGUAGGGCGGUCAGGGAACAAGAGCUGGGCAAGACCGGUGCCAGCCGCCGCGGUAAUACCGGCAGCUCGAGUGAUGACCGAUAUUAUUGGGCCUAAAGCGUCCGUAGCCGGCCGGGCAAGUCUGUUGGGAAAUCCAUCAGCUCAACUGAUGGGCGUCCAGCGGAAACUGUUCGGCUUGAGGCCGGAGGACCCGAGGGGUACGUCCGGGGUAGGAGUGAAAUCCCGUAAUCCCGGACGGACCGCCGGUGGCGAAAGCGCCUCGGGAAGACGGACCUGACGGUGAGGGACGAAAGCUAGGGUCUCGAACCGGAUUAGAUACCCGGGUAGUCCUAGCCGUAAACGAUGCCCGCUAGGUGUGGCACUGGCUACGA